GAUGAACGCUGGCGGCGUGCCUAAUACAUGCAAGUCGAGCGAACGGACGAGAAGCUUGCUUUUCUGAUGUUAGCGGCGGACGGGUGAGUAACACGUGGAUAACCUACCUAUAAGACUGGGAUAACUUCGGGAAACCGGAGCUAAUACCGGAUAAUAUUUUGAACCGCAUGGUUCAAAAGUGAAAGACGGUCUUGCUGUCACUUAUAGAUGGAUCCGCGCUGCAUUAGCUAGUUGGUAAGGUAACGGCUUACCAAGGCAACGAUGCAUAGCCGACCUGAGAGGGUGAUCGGCCACACUGGAACUGGGACACGGUCCAGACUCCGACGGGAGGCAGCAGUAGGGAAUCUUCCGCAAUGGGCGAAAGCCUGACGGAGCAACGCCGCGUGAGUGAUGAAGGUCUUCGGAUCGUAAAACUCUGUUAUUAGGGAAGAACAUAUGUGUAAGUAACUGUGCACAUCUUGACGGUACCUAAUCAGAAAGCCACGGCUAACUACGUG
RNAcentral lists this ribosomal RNA (497 nucleotides) under uncultured bacterium. Its description in RNAcentral is "partial 16S ribosomal RNA". It matches the Rfam family "Bacterial small subunit ribosomal RNA", at positions 28 to 507 of the family's 1533-position model. The record is from RNAcentral.